GGAGAGGUGUCCGAGUGGUUGAUGGAGCCGCUCUCGAAAAGCGGUGCCCCCCUGGUUGGGGCCGUGGGUUCGAAUCCCACCCUCUCCG
This 88-nucleotide transfer RNA is filed under the name Dehalococcoidia bacterium. RNAcentral describes it as "tRNA-Ser". It matches the Rfam family "tRNA". From Rfam's summary of the family: Transfer RNA (tRNA) molecules are approximately 80 nucleotides in length. Their secondary structure includes four short double-helical elements and three loops (D, anti-codon, and T loops). Further hydrogen bonds mediate the characteristic L-shaped molecular structure. tRNAs have two regions of fundamental functional importance: the anti-codon, which is responsible for specific mRNA codon recognition, and the 3' end, to which the tRNAs corresponding amino acid is attached (by aminoacyl-tRNA synthetases). tRNAs cope with the degeneracy of the genetic code in two manners: having more than one tRNA (with a specific anti-codon) for a particular amino acid; and 'wobble' base-pairing, i.e. permitting non-standard base-pairing at the 3rd anti-codon position. The record is from RNAcentral. RNAcentral also lists the same sequence under 1 other name. Lineage: Bacteria; Bacillati; Chloroflexota; Dehalococcoidia.